RNAcentral lists this unclassified non-coding RNA (329 nucleotides) under soil metagenome. RNAcentral's name for it is "partial contains 5.8S ribosomal RNA, internal transcribed spacer 2, and large subunit ribosomal RNA". The stretch from base 1 to 120 matches the Rfam family "5.8S ribosomal RNA", at positions 35 to 154 of the family's 154-position model. The record is from RNAcentral.
GAUGAAGAACGCAGCGAAAUGCGAUAAGUAAUGUGAAUUGCAGAAUUCAGUGAAUCAUCGAAUCUUUGAACGCACAUUGCGCCCCCUGGUAUUCCGGGGGGCAUGCCUGUCCGAGCGUCAUUACAACCCUCAAGCUCAGCUUGGUGUUGGGCCCCGCCGCCCCGGCGGGCCCUAAAGUCAGUGGCGGUGCCGUCCGGCUCCGAGCGUAGUAAUUCCUCUCGCUCUGGAGGUCCGGUCGUGUGCUCGCCAGCAACCCCCAAUUUUUUUCAGGUUGACCUCGGAUCAGGUAGGGAUACCCGCUGAACUUAAGCAUAUCAAUAAGCGGAGGA